Molecule: long non-coding RNA, 721 nt
Filed under: Medicago truncatula (barrel medic)
Lineage: Eukaryota; Viridiplantae; Streptophyta; Magnoliopsida; Fabales; Fabaceae
Description: long non-coding RNA (MTRU_LNC002809)
Source: RNAcentral
UUAGGUCUUGAUAUGUGUUGGACCAGUCUGGGUGGAGGCUUUCUCUCCCGCAAAUAGGAGUCGAGUCUAAUUCUCAAAGCAUAACUACCACCCCCACCUGGAAUUGGGGACUAGGAUCACUCUAAUUAUCUUCAAUCUACAUCCAAUAAAUAUGUUGCCCUCUCACUCUAACAUCAGUCUCAUAUGCCCCUCUUCCACAUGUCACUAAAUAAGAGAUAUGAAGAAAAUUGACGACGAGUCUUUAAACUUAGUCUCUUCUAUCUUUCCUUUUCUCUUCUUUUAUAUAUGUACUAAAAACACCAACUAUAAUUGAGUUCUUAUCUAUCAAUUUUACCUUAGAAUAGAUGACCAAUUUGCAAUUAUUCAAUUGUUACAUUGUCAAUUCUGGAAUCCUUACAACAAUAUCCAAUUGGGUUUCUUGUUGGUGUGGCUUUGACUGUGCCCUUUUUGCGUUGUUGGAUCCUAGUUCAAGAAUAGGCGAAGGAUACUUCUGUGUAGUUUGAUAAUAAGUCUCUGAACUCUACAUUUUGAAAAAUUAUAAAGUUACUGUGUCUUUUUAUGCAUCCUUAUCAGAAUUGGGGAACGCCCUUGUACUGCUUAAUCAUUUUGAUAUUAAUGAUCUUUUAUUUUGACAUGUAAAUCAAUCAUACCGUAAAAAUAAAAAUAAAAAAUAAGAGUGUGUCUUCUUCUUCUAAUCCAUCUUGCUGGUUAUUGUUUGUUU